CGUACCAUAGCUCAGUCGGUAGUAGCGUGGGAUUCAUAACCCCAAGGUCGUGAGUUCGAGCCUCACUGGUCCCA
Transfer RNA from Fonticula alba, 74 nucleotides. It matches the Rfam family "tRNA". From Rfam's summary of the family: Transfer RNA (tRNA) molecules are approximately 80 nucleotides in length. Their secondary structure includes four short double-helical elements and three loops (D, anti-codon, and T loops). Lineage: Eukaryota; Rotosphaerida; Fonticulaceae. The record is from Rfam.